AUGAAUGCUACUUUUGGAUGGAUCAAUGUGAAGGAUGUUGCAAACGUGGAUAUUUUGGAAAAUGACUAUGCUUCGGCUAAUAUAAGAUAUUGUUUGGUUGGAAGAGUGAUACAUUUCUCUGAACUGAAAUCGGCUGGAAACAAAUAUGUGAAUGCUCCUUUUUAUCUUAAUGUCUAUGAUUUGAUCGAUGUUUGUGACUUAUUAAUUACGAUUAGUUUGGAUCUUCACAGUGGAAUUAUUUGA
Vicia faba (fava bean) is the source of this 243-nucleotide non-coding RNA. The record is from the annotation of a GenBank genome assembly. Lineage: Eukaryota; Viridiplantae; Streptophyta; Magnoliopsida; Fabales; Fabaceae.